Molecule: ribosomal RNA, 497 nt
Filed under: uncultured bacterium
Lineage: Bacteria
Description: partial 16S ribosomal RNA
Rfam family: Bacterial small subunit ribosomal RNA
Source: RNAcentral
GAUGACCGCUGGCGGCGUGCCUAAUUCAUGCCAGUUGAGCGCACAGAUGAGGAGCUUGCACCUCUGACGUUAGCGGCGGACGGGUGAGUAACACGUGGAUAACCUACCUAUAAGACUGGGAUAACUUCGGGACCCCGGAGCUAAUACCGGAUAAUAUAUUGAACCGCAUGGUUCAAUAGUGAAAGACGGUUUUGCUGUCACUUAUAGAUGGAUCCGCGCCGCAUUAGCUAGUUGGUAAGGUAACGGCUUACCAAGGCAACGAUGCGUAGCCGACCUGAGAGGGUGAUCAGCCACACUGGAACUGAGACACGGUCCAGACUCCUACGGGAGGCAGCAGUAGGGGAUCUGCCGCAAUGAGCUAAAGCCUAACAUAGGAAUACCGCGUGUGUGAUUAAAGUCUACGGAACGGUAGACACUUGUAGUAGGGAAGAACAAAGGUUUGAGUUAGUGUGCACGUCUGGACGGGACCUAAUCAGAGAGCCACGGCUAGCUACGGG